CCGACCGGCGCACGGGUGAGUAACACGUAUGCAACCUGGCCGUCACAGGUGGAUAACCGGAAGAAAUUCCGACUAAUACAGCAUAACACUCCUGAGGGACAUCCUUCGGGAGUCAAAGGAGGCAACUCCGGUGACGGAUGGGCAUGCGGCGCAUUAGGUAGUUGGUAGGGUAACGGCCUACCAAGCCGACGAUGCGUAGGGGUUCUGAGAGGAAGGUCCCCCACAUUGGAACUGAGACACGGUCCAAACUCCUACGGAAGGCAGCAG
RNAcentral lists this ribosomal RNA (267 nucleotides) under uncultured bacterium. Its description in RNAcentral is "partial 16S ribosomal RNA". It matches the Rfam family "Bacterial small subunit ribosomal RNA", at positions 91 to 354 of the family's 1533-position model. The record is from RNAcentral.